GAUGAAGAACGCAGCGAAAUGCGAUAAGUAAUGUGAAUUGCAGAAUUCAGUGAAUCAUCGAGUCUUUGAACGCACAUUGCGCCCCCCGGUAUUCCGGGGGGCAUGCCUGUCCGAGCGUCAUUGCCGCCCUCAAGCACGGCUUGUGUGUUGGGCCCCCGCCCCCCGGCUUCGGGGGGCGGGCCCGAAAGGCAGCGGCGGCACCGCGUCCGGUCCUCGAGCGUAUGGGGCUUCGUCACCCGCUCUGUAGGCCCGGCCGGCGCCCGCCGGCGACCCCAAUCAAUCUUUCCAGGUUGACCUCGGAUCAGGUAGGGAUACCCGCUGAACUUAAGCAUAUCAAUAAGCGGAGGA
This 348-nucleotide unclassified non-coding RNA is filed under the name soil metagenome. RNAcentral's name for it is "partial contains 5.8S ribosomal RNA, internal transcribed spacer 2, and large subunit ribosomal RNA". The stretch from base 1 to 120 matches the Rfam family "5.8S ribosomal RNA", at positions 35 to 154 of the family's 154-position model. The record is from RNAcentral.